AAGAAAAACGGGAAAUGGCUGUGCCGCCGCGCUGCAGAAUGCAUAUGGAUGACCUGAAGCACACUAGACGAUCAGCAGACAUCCAUCCCAUUCUUGCGAUAAUGCGACUUGAGAUGUUGCGCUGGCUCUGCCAUCUCGGUGUAGCUAUCACUACAAGUAACGUGUGCAAACUACUGGAACUCCUUGGACGCUAUGAGGAUUUGCUACUCCCGGUUAGCUUCCGGAUGUCACCCAUUCGUAGUAGAGUUAUGAUUUGUAGUGUUGGUAGUUCAAAGUUGUAGCCACU
This 286-nucleotide long non-coding RNA is filed under the name Oryza brachyantha (malo sina). Its description in RNAcentral is "long non-coding RNA (OBRA_LNC000944)". The record is from RNAcentral. Lineage: Eukaryota; Viridiplantae; Streptophyta; Magnoliopsida; Poales; Poaceae.